AGUGAACGCUGGCGGUAGGCCUAACACAUGCAAGUCGAACGGCAGCACAGUAAGAGCUUGCUCUUACGGGUGGCGAGUGGCGGACGGGUGAGGAAUACAUCGGAAUCUACUUUUUCGUGGGGGAUAACGUAGGGAAACUUACGCUAAUACCGCAUACGACCUACGGGUGAAAGCAGGGGAUCUUCGGACCUUGCGCGAUUGAAUGAGCCGAUGUCGGAUUAGCUAGUUGGCGGGGUAAAGGCCCACCAAGGCGACGAUCCGUAGCUGGUCUGAGAGGGUGAUCAGCCACACUGGAACUGAGUCACGGUCCAGACUCCUACGGGAGGCAGCAGUGGGGAAUAUUGGACAAUGGGCGCAAGCCUGAUCCAGCCAUACCGCGUGGGUGAAGAAGGCCUUCGGGUUGUAAAGCCCUUUUGUUGGGAAAGAAAAGCAGCAGGUUAAUACCCCGCUGUUCUGACGGUACCCAAAGAAUAAGCACCGGCUAACUUCGUG
This 492-nucleotide ribosomal RNA is filed under the name uncultured bacterium. Its description in RNAcentral is "partial 16S ribosomal RNA". It matches the Rfam family "Bacterial small subunit ribosomal RNA", at positions 29 to 507 of the family's 1533-position model. The record is from RNAcentral.